UUUGGUGGAUUACAAGGACAUUCCACCAGUUUACAUACCAGCAUUAUAAGGACAUUUGGGAUUAUGAGGACCAAGGACAUGUCCUUAUAAUUCAAACAAUGUAAAUGCAUAUGUUUGAGCCUCAGGAACAAUCUCCUGCUUUUUUUCGGAAUGUCCUUUUAAACGGGUAAACCAGUUUUCUGGUGUUUUUGAGUGUAUGCCAUCACGCCUCCUAAUGGCAGGCUUUGUAACUGCUCAUUUAUACACAUUACGACCUAAAUGGGCGGAGACCGUUCGGAAAACGCGGGCUGCAUUUUGAUUGGUUAAUCAUGCUCCCGCGUACCGGAGGCGGAGUCUCUCCGGGAGCGCGCAAUCUACCAAUAGACGUCGUCAAGUGAUGCGGCAGCAGCAGUGACAAAUUAGAUGAAUGCAAACAUCAUUGUCAUGAUCAUGUCAUGAUCAUCAUGUCAAGACCCUUCCCAGAAGCAAGUUCAGAACAGAUGAACACACACACCGUUACUGAGAUGUCAAGACCUUUCCUAGAAGCAAGUUCAGAACAG
This is a long non-coding RNA of Labeo rohita (rohu), 539 nucleotides long. RefSeq lists it as uncharacterized. NCBI's taxonomy places the organism in Eukaryota, Metazoa, Chordata, Actinopteri, Cypriniformes, Cyprinidae. The transcript has 3 exons. The record is from RefSeq and is a predicted model, not a curated record.